AGCAGAGUAGGACUGUGCGCGUUAAGUGCCGGAUGAACAGGGAGUUGUCAUCCGGACGAAAAGAAAGAUCUUGCGGUGCACAAUCCGCAUCCCGCUGCU
Molecule: regulatory RNA element, 99 nt
Organism: Eubacterium sp. CAG:38
Lineage: Bacteria; Bacillati; Bacillota; Clostridia; Eubacteriales; Eubacteriaceae
Rfam family: THF (Tetrahydrofolate) riboswitch aptamer
About the family: THF riboswitch presents a pseudoknot that joins P1-P2 and the loop of P3 and two THF binding.
Source: Rfam